CCUACGGGAGGCUGCAGUGGGGAAUAUUGGACAAUGGGGGGAACCCUGAUCCAGCCAUGCCGCGUGUGUGAAGAAGGCCCUCGGGUUGUAAAGCACUUUCAGUGAGGAAGAACGCCUGGUGGUUAAUACCCAUCAGGAAAGACAUCACUCACAGAAGAAGCACCGGCUAACUCCGUGCCAGCAGCCGCGGUAAUACGGAGGGUGCGAGCGUUAAUCGGAAUUACUGGGCGUAAAGCGCGCGUAGGUGGCUUGAUAAGCCGGUUGUGAAAGCCCCGGGCUCAACCUGGGAACGGCAUCCGGAACUGUCGAGCUAGAGUGCAGGAGAGGAAGGUAGAAUUCCCUGUGUAGCGGUGAAAUGCGUAGAGAUCGGGAGGAAUACCAGUGGCGAAGGCGGCCUUCUGGACUGACACUGACACUGAGGUGCGAAAGCGUGGGUAGCAAACAGGAUUAGAUACCCCUGUAGUC
RNAcentral lists this ribosomal RNA (465 nucleotides) under Vreelandella stevensii. RNAcentral describes it as "partial 16S ribosomal RNA". It matches the Rfam family "Bacterial small subunit ribosomal RNA", at positions 338 to 795 of the family's 1533-position model. The record is from RNAcentral. Lineage: Bacteria; Pseudomonadati; Pseudomonadota; Gammaproteobacteria; Oceanospirillales; Halomonadaceae.